RNAcentral lists this ribosomal RNA (502 nucleotides) under uncultured bacterium. Its description in RNAcentral is "partial 16S ribosomal RNA". It matches the Rfam family "Bacterial small subunit ribosomal RNA", at positions 28 to 523 of the family's 1533-position model. The record is from RNAcentral.
GACGAACGCUAGCGGCAGGCCUAACACAUGCAAGUCGAGGGGCAGCACAGAAACAGCAAUGUUUUGGUGGCGACCGGCGGACGGGUGCGUAACGCGUAUGCAACCUACCUUUAACAGGGGGAUAACGGAGAGAAAUUUCCACUAAUACCCCAUAACAUCGAUCAAGGCAUCUUGAUUGGUCGAAAACUCAGGUGGUUAAAGAUGGGCAUGCGUUGUAUUAGGUAGUUGGUGAGGUAAUGGCUCACCAAGCCUACGAUACAUAGGGGGACUGAGAGGUUAGCCCCCCACACUGGUACUGAGACACGGACCAGACUCCUACGGGAGGCAGCAGUGAGGAAUAUUGGUCAAUGGGGGCAACCCUGAACCAGCCAUGCCGCGUGCAGGAAGACGGCUCUAUGAGUUGUAAACUGCUUUUAAACAGGGAUAAAGCACAGUAUGUAUACUGUGUUGAAGGUACUGUAAGAAUAAGGAUCGGCUAACUCCGUGCCAGCCGCCGCGGUAA